GAUUACAGGCGUGAGCCACUGUGCCCGGCCUGGCUCUGAGUUCUUUUAUGACCCUUGGGCAACAGCUACUGGCUCUGAGCCUUAGUUGCUUCUUGGUUAUGUUGUCUGACUAUCUUUACUGUUCCAAAACAGUUGUAAUUUCCCCCAUUUCUAUUUAUUGCUCUGGAAACACAUGUCGUUUAUCUACACUUUUGCUGUUUUGUUCUGUGGUGUGUGAGCGCAUGUUUCCCCUGCCAGCCUGGAACCCCUGAGGGCAUGGAUGCCAUCUUAUUUGUUUUUAUCUCCCCAGCGCCUAGCACUGAGCCCUCUUACAGGAAAUGCUCAGUCAAUAUUUGUUGAAUUGGAUUCUCUUUUAGUAGGGUUACAGAGGAAAAAAGAGCCUUAAAACUGUCUCCAUGGGGUCCACAUCUUUUGUCUUUUCUUCCAUGUAGAGAUCGUUGGCAAAAACAUUGAUGGGAAUUAUCUAUCUUGCAUUUAUGUGACAUUUUUAAUUCUUUAACAGUAUUGUCAUCUGUAUAAUCAGUUAUAUUGCACCUGGUUUCCCCAGUUUGGUAGAGCAUGCCUAUUGAGUUUUAAAGAAUAAAGAUGACUUAUUCAGAAGGGUCAUGCUCUCAGAAUAACAAACUGUCAUGGCAUCCUGUUUGCAAAAAUCUGCAUUAGGCAGAUUUUUG
Molecule: long non-coding RNA, 671 nt
Filed under: Homo sapiens (human)
Lineage: Eukaryota; Metazoa; Chordata; Mammalia; Primates; Hominidae
Description: HSALNT0093857
Source: RNAcentral